This 404-nucleotide ribosomal RNA is filed under the name Fusobacteriota bacterium. RNAcentral describes it as "Fusobacteria bacterium partial 16S ribosomal RNA". It matches the Rfam family "Bacterial small subunit ribosomal RNA", at positions 355 to 776 of the family's 1533-position model. The record is from RNAcentral. Lineage: Bacteria; Fusobacteriati; Fusobacteriota.
UGGGGAAUAUUGCACAAUGGAGGGAACUCUGAUGCAGCGACGCCGCGUGAGUGAUGAAGGAAUUCGUUUCGUAAAACUCUGUUCUAUGGGAAGAAAAGGACUGUACCAUAGGAGAAAGCUCCGGCUAAAUACGUGCCAGCAGCCGCGGUAAUACGUAUGGAGCGAGCAUUGUCCGGAAUUAUUGGGCGUAAAGGGUGCGCAGGCGGCUUUACAAGUUGGAUGUGAAAUAUUGUGGCUCAACCACAAACGUGCAUCCAAAACUGCAAAGCUUGAGUUAAGGAGAGGUAAGUGGAAUUCCUGGUGUAGCGGUGGAAUGCGUAGAUAUCAGGAGGAAUACCGGUGGCGAAGGCGACUUACUGGACUUAAACUGACGCUCAGGCACGAAAGCGUGGGGAGCAAACAGG